GACGAACGCUGGCGGCGUGCCUAAUACAUGCAAGUCGAACGAACCGCGACUGAGUGCUUGCACUUGGUCAAGGUGAGUGGCGAACGGGUGAGUAACACGUGGGUAACCUACCUCAUAGUGGGGGAUAACAGUCGGAAACGACUGCUAAUACCGCAUAGGACAUGGAAUCACAUGAUUCUGUGAGGAAAGGUGGCGCAAGCUAUCGCUAAGAGAUGGACCCGCGGUGCAUUAGCUAGUUGGUAGGGUAAGGGCCUACCAAGGCGAUGAUGCAUAGCCGACCUGAGAGGGUGAUCGGCCACAUUGGGACUGAGACACGGCCCAAACUCCUACGGGAGGCAGCAGUAGGGAAUCUUCCGCAAAGGACGCAAGUCUGACGGAGCAACGCCGCGUGAGUGAAGAAGGUCUUCGGAUCGUAAAGCUCUGUUGUUAGAGAAGAACAGCGCAUAGAGUAACUGUUAUGCGUGUGACGGUAUCUAACCAGAAAGCCACGGCUAACUACGUG
Molecule: ribosomal RNA, 502 nt
Filed under: uncultured bacterium
Lineage: Bacteria
Description: partial 16S ribosomal RNA
Rfam family: Bacterial small subunit ribosomal RNA
Source: RNAcentral